UCAACCUCACCAGCCGCUUCACCCUCUUCCUGCAUCGCGACGCGGUCAUCAUCGGCUCCCAGGUCACGGGUUCAUUGAUUUCUUCUUUCUUUGUUUGUUUAGACAGUAAUUAAUACAGUAGUAGCAGUGUGAAAUGCUGCAUCGGCUUCGCUGUAGGAGCUAGGAUUCUAUUCUAGGAGGUGGUUUGGAAUUUUGCUCAGCGUUUCUGAUCAAGCAUGCAAUGCAUGCGCACAACAAACCGCGUGGUUUAAUUUGCUUGCUCGAUCAGUGGCCUGGCCAUGCAUGGACAAGAAAUUUCUUCGUUACAUUGGUCGGUUCAGAAAUUUCCAAAGCCUUGCGUAACCGGCCCUCCAAACAUUGGGAUGCUCGUCGUCGUUAAACUAGGUAGAUUCGGCGCUUGUGCUGUCACAUGCAUGCCAUGAUCCGUGUGCAGACAGAUAAAUGUAUUGGAGAAGUCACAUGCUUGGCCAUGGAUGGCCGCCUGGCUCUUUGCUGGUUCUUCCUUGUGAACUCUGCUACCACAUUAUCUGUGUGCCUUUGCUUUGUCUCCACUGCAUGCUAUGCUGCUUCCAUUCCACCUGGACUGGGGUUGAAGCCUCUUUUGUACUUUACAUUGCUUCCACCUUCCUCUUAUCUGUCUGUGCUAAAGCCAAUAGAGAGGGUCAAAAAAAACUUUGGUUUGGAGCCUUGUGCAGGAGCCAAUCCCCAAUUUUUGGUCCAUCUGAUCUGAUAGCCAUGCCUGUGCUGACUGUUCAGUGGGGCGGUAUAUUGUGCAGACUUAUUUGCACCAGGGGACUUUAGUAAUAAGAAUUGGUUGCACAAAGGAACUAGCAUCGUUGAGAAGGUAGUUGUGUCACUUCUCCUGCUACAGCUACUUCCAAUUCCAACAGAACAAACAAGCUUUCCAUUCCACGUGUUAAAUACACCUUUGUCGAGUUUCCAACUACAAGUGGAGUACAGUUGGGAGGAAUUUGCUGGGAAAUGGUGAGCUUCAGUUAGAACACACUGAAAAUAAUAAUCGUAAGCCAUCUUGCGUCUUUUGCAGCUAAUGCCUGUUCCAAAAUAUUGUGAACACCAGUCUAUGCCCAUUUUGUUUGUUUGUUUGUUUUUCCAUCUGUGUCAACCAAGGCAAAAAGACACAGCUGCAUGCGUGAUCUGUAUUACAGUACUGUAGAUCUGUAGUACAGUACUGUAGAGUCAUUAUCAGUCCAUUAUGCGGGAGGGAGCGGUUAGGACCACGCCACAUCAGCCUCAUUCACGGAGAGGGCUUAAACGAUGUUGUUAUUACCGGUAGCAACGGGACCAUAGAUGGGCAAGGUCAUAUGUGGUGGGAGCUAUGGCGGAACCGAACCUUGAACCACACGAGAGGCCAUCUCAUCGAGCUUGUGAACUCAAACAACGGGAUUGAAUGAAGUUACUGGUAUGACCUUGUCGAGACUGAAGCAAGGAGGGACAGAGCUAAAAACUCUCUUGACAGUAAGUUCUAGAUACCUUAGUUUUGUGCUCAUGAACCUUCUCUCUUGUGCUAGUACUCUAUAAGUUCUAGAUACCUUAGUUUGAUGUACAUAGGUUUCUAGAUAACUUAGUUUUGUGCUCAUGAACCUUCUCUCUUGUGCUGCUACUCUAUAAACCUUAGUUUUAUGCUCAUGAACCUUCUCUCUUAUGCUGCUACUCUAUAAUAUAAGUGCCACCUAUAGUAAUGUCUUAGCCAAAUACGUUUAUUAUUUUCUUAGACAAAAAAUAAAGCCACAUGUUCUCUCUCCAUGAUCUGACCAUGCGCUCAGACAUAACUUGGAAUUAUCUGAUUAUUUUCUGCCUACCAAUAAGGUUAUAGCCUUAUAGGCAGUCAACGAUAUAUUUUUUUAUUCUUGAUGUUCUUGAUCUACGGUGCAUUUUUGCUGAAUAUUCAACACAAAUAUCAGUGCAUAUAUCUUCAUAUUAACAAGAGAAUGAAACAGUCGCAUACAACACAACCCCCUUAUCUCAGAAGAGAAUAGGAAAAGGUUGCCUAAAAGACUAGGAAAGAACACCUAAAAGAAGCUAAUAUAUUAUAAAAGUUCAGAUCAUGUCAUGUAACAUGUGGUUCUUUAAUUGGCUAUGACAAUAUGGUAAUCAGAUGGUUAUUAUAGCAUUACCAACAGCCCAACAUGUUCUAAUCAGGGUAUCUUCUGUACCAUGUUAAUUGAAAUUGUCUAUUUGCCAUUCAUAUUGUUUACUGUGCUUAUGGCCAUGAGCACCAAAUCUGUGGAAGCAGAGCGUAUUAUCUGAAUUAGUAUUGGAAUAUUGUUAUUGUGCCAAUUUUGGUUCUACCCUUGUCUAUUUUGCCCUACAGUGGAUAUUGUUAUUGUGUCAAUUCUUAUAGUUUUGCAUAGUUUACGGUAUAUGUACUUUUACUUAAGUACAAUGCUCAUCAUGAAGAGUACUCUAGCCUGGUUUGCACUUGCAGGUUAUCUUCUCAGACAUCAAUGCUUACGAGGUGGACCUUGAUACUGAUGAGAAGCACUGUUUCUGCCGGGAGUUAGAUCUGUUAGCUGUAGUCGAAGGAAUUUUACCAUGAAAAUUACGGACUUACCUACCCAUGCUCCAACUGCAUGGACUUAUCUUGCCCCUACAUUGUUGUACUUGAACUCGGCUUCUAGAUUAGUGUUAGUUACCAGUGAAUUUUGGUUGCAAUAAACAGGAAUUGUGUUAAUGCCCUAUUUCUUCACAGCACACUCUCACAAAGUGCUCAGAUUUGGAUACGAAAUCUUAAGCAAAACUUACAAGAUGAAAUGCUUACAUUGUUCAUCUGGUGUUCAAGAUUCUGAACAUUCUCCAAGCACUGUCGUUAUUAUAUCAACCAGGGACUGCAGAUUUUAUAUAUUUAUUGUGUUGAUGCUUAUCAUGUGUAGCCGAAUAAAUCAGGCUUUAUUCUUUGGGUAUUGACCAGGUUAUGAUAUAACCUUAUUAUAUAUAUGUAGCCGAAAGACGUUCUGGUUGGCUUAUGUUUGUAUGAAUAAUUCUUAUUCAAAAUUGUAUAUUUUUAUACAAGACUAUUGUUUAUAAGGUCCAGUUUAAGGGGUACUACUAUGUAGAUCUAUCAUGAAAACCUCAUGAGUCACUAGGAGUAUGUUUAUGUAUCUAUCAUCUUUUUGUAUUAAUGUUUUAUGAUGUUUUUAAUUUCUAUGUCAAAGCAUAGACACAUAUCUAUACAUUUUUUAUGUAUGUAAACCUCCUUUAUCUUUAAAAGAUGCUAACAAAUGCAUAGAACGACAAUUAUUGCUUCUGCAUUUCAAUGUGUUUUAUUAUAACAUGUUGAUACCGUAGCAACGCACGGGUACAUAACUA
Zea mays is the source of this 3327-nucleotide long non-coding RNA. RefSeq lists it as uncharacterized. The transcript has 3 exons. Lineage: Eukaryota; Viridiplantae; Streptophyta; Magnoliopsida; Poales; Poaceae. The record is from RefSeq and is a predicted model, not a curated record.